UGCACAUGGUUGCAGGGACUUGGGCGUAUUGAUUUUAUAUGCGACCACUUGUUGUGUCAGAAGUGAAACGUGUUUGGGUUAGAAUUGUGAAGAGAUUUCGUUUAGUUAAUUUGGUGGGGAUGAAUGGUCAGAGCCCGACAGCGAGUAUGCCAGUAAUGAGGAAGAAUAAUGAGAACUUCGAAUGCUAUCAAGAGAACAUGUGCAAUGUCAAUAAUCUAGUUUAUUGUUUAAUUCAUUGGGCACUAUUGUUAAUAAAUUUACCUUGCUUUCAUACUUCUCGUUCUGUAAUAAAAAAAACCUCUGUGUUGUUCCUCUUGCGGAACAACAAAACAUAGUCUAGAUUCUGAGUGUUCUAUCUUAAAUACUUUCUCUAUCAUUUACAAUAAAAAUGUAGUUCAGUGCCAACUUCAAAGUUGUAUACUAGCCUUGGGAAGCAAUUUAGACCAUAAGUUUUAUGUACCCGUUACACGCACUGUGUGUGUAUUACGCAAUACAUUGGUUACAAAGGUUAUCUGACGAGCUGUCUGCCAUGAUGCCAGCUGAGACAAGAUAUUCUCAGCCUUACCAACCGAGCUGACAGUACAUAACAGUCCUUCCCUCCAAGUGAUUUUUACCCUAAGCACUUGUACAUAUUGGUUAUACACAAUGGAGAACGUAGUCACUGAAGUUUAUUGGUAUUUUCUUGACUCAUGUGGAUCGCUCCCUCACCCUCAUUGGCAAGUUACUCAGCUCCUGGGGAUGUCCCUGGGUCUCCUGCAGUGAGAACUCCAAGGUUCCAGCAAGCUCCUCAGAUGUUUGCUGUCCUGGACGAACAUGAUCGACUGCAGCUGCCGAACCGCAGUCACUAGGAAACCCCAAAAAUGGUAGCUUGGAGUACCCCAACAUUAGGGAACCGGCCGCUCGCUGGAGGGGCAUCUCGCUGCCACUCAUCUUCGUACCAGAUGAUCCUGGUUGUGUCGCUGUACUGCUUGGAGGCCUCUGUGGUUGCUGCUGAAUCUCUGGUCUCCCCCGAUGGACAGCUUCCUGGAGUGAUUCUUCUUGCUCUUGGAGCCCCGUCCCAGGUGCUCCUCCCACCGGUAACCUCGAGCUCCCCUGGAGUCAUGUACAGAUAAUGUGUCGCACCAUCUGAUCGACAUGUCUCCGUGCCAUGUACCUCCAGCCUGCACUUGGUAUGUAACUGGACCCUCCCUACGUGCCACCACUCCAGGGACCCACUUGGGUCCAGCUCCAUAGUUGCGUAUUAACACUGGGUCCUUUUCACUAAACUGUCUCAUUUUACCAUCUCACCCAUCCUCCACUAACCCUUUUCCCGCACCCGACAGCGACCACGGGUGCAGCUUGUCGAAAACUGUCUGCAGCUUUCGACCCAUCAAGAGUUCGGCAGGCGUCUUCUGCAUGACCGUACUGGGAGUUGUGCGCAACGAAAAGAGCAGUCUGUGCAAUCUCGUAUUCCAGUCACCUGCUUCCAACUUCUUCAACUUGUCCUUGACAGUUUGCACCAUUCGCUCGGCUUUCCCAUUACUGGCCGGAUGGUAUAGGGGCGUAUACUUGCAGAUGACUCUAUUCUUCUCUAGAAAGGUCUUCAUUUCACUUGAAGCAAAGGCAGUCCCAUUAUCAGACACCACAACGUCCGGAAUACCAUGGUUACUAAUCAUACUCAGCUCCUGCACCACUACAGCCGAUGACAUUGACGGCACCAUCCGUACCUCUGGCCAUUUUGAAAAGGCAUCAAUGACAACCAGAAAUGUUUUCCCUUGAAAGGGCCCCGCAAAAUCAACAUGCAGAUGGGACCAUGGUCUCUGGGGCGUGCUCCAUGGCAUCUGAGUCUUCGCUGGUGCCCUGCGUUCGGCCUGACAUAUCUGGCAAUGGCUGACAAUCUCCUCAAUGUCUUAGUCCAGUUUUGGCUACCAGAUGUAGCUUCGAGCUAUGUUCCAGUAGGGUCGAACCUCCUCACUUGGUAGUAUUGUGGCCAUCCAUGCAACACAAAUUUCUUCACUCUCUUCAACACUGGAUCCUCGUUCACACAUCGUGCCAUGGCCUGGGCGUCCAAGAGGGCGUCCGGCAUUGCUUCAAACAUCAGGAUAUCUGCUACUGCCGAGACUUCCCUUGGUGAUGUCGGCUGUGGCAACCUGCUCAAGGAGUCUGCAUGUCCAAUCCGAACCCCUGGCUUAUGCAUGAUGGUGUAGUCAUACAUGCCCAGCAACAGACUUCACAGUAACAUGCGAUGUGAUGUAUCACUGUAACAUGCGAUGUGAUAGUAUGUCCGGGGUUGGGCGCUUGGGAUCCAAAAGUCGUAAUAAUGGCCUGUGGUCCGUCACCACUGUAAAUGAUCUGCCUGCCAAAUAUUGACGAAAUUUAGUUACCCCAAAUAUCACUGCGAGGGCUUCCUUGUCGAUCUGCGCAUAGUUCCGCUUACAUUUUUUCAGUGUCCGCGACCCAAACGCCACCGGUCUCUCCUCACCAUCAUCCAUGACGUGUGCCAACACUGCACUCACGCCAUACUCUGUGGUGUCGCAUGUUAGCACCAGAGGUCUUGUGGUAUCAUAAGGGACCAGCACACAGUCUGUUUGUAGCAAUUCCUUGGCCUUGGUAAAUGCAGCUGCAUGCUGUGUCUCCUAUUUCCAGACAGCGUUUCCAUCAAGCAGUCGGUGUAGUGGCUCCGACACACUAGCUUUAUCUCUCAAGAACCGCUCAUAGAAAUUGAUAAAGCCCAAAAAAGACAGUAGGUCUUUCUUGUUUUGGGGCACUGGUACCCUACGAAUUGCUUCCACUUUGUCGUGUGUGGGAUGUAUCCCUUCCGCAUCUAUCCUAUAACCUAGAAAAUUCACCACUGCGGAUGCAAAAACACACUUGGACUUAUUCAACCGUAACCCAGCCUUGUCUAUCCUCGCCACUAUCUCCACUACAUGUGUCCAGUGAUCUUCAUUUGGGCCCACUAUUAACACAUCGUCCAGUAGCACUACCACCCCUUAUACUCCUGCUAAGAGUGUUUCCAUGAGCCUCUGGAACACGGCAGGGCCACUGCUCACUCCAAACUGUAAUCGGCGUACCUUAAAAAGUCCCUUGAUGGUAUUGACAGUCAACAAAUCUGCCGUUCCCUCGUCGACUCCAACCUGCAUGUAGGCAUCCUCCAAGUCCAGCUUCGUGAAAUAUUUACCCCCUGCCAGCGAUGCUAGAGCUUCUAUGUUGGUCGGCAACGGUUAACACUCUGUCUUACAUGCUGGAUUGAUUGUGCCCUUGUAGUCAGCACAUAUGCGAAUGGACCCAUCCAAUUUCAUAAUAGGCACGACAGGUGUCACCCACGAUGAAUACGGAACUGCCUCAUAAGCUCCUCGCAUAAUCAGCUUGUCGAUUACAUCCCCUACCUUGUCCCUUAUUGCAAACGGCACUGGUCUGCAUUUCCUAAAUACUGGUGUGGCUCCCUCUUUAAGCGCGACGGAUACCAGUGGACCCUUAUACUGUGCAAACAGCUGCUGUCAAAUACCUUUGGAUACUUGUCUACCAGUUCCUCCACCCAUCGGCUCUUCUGCACAACACUUGGUUCCUUGCAACUCUACCACGAAAACACCCUCCACCUAAAUCCCAAGGGGCUUCAACCAGUUCCUCCCCAUCAAACUCGGCCCUUUCCCAGCUGCCACUAACACCAGAAGCGGUACUGCCUCACUUCCCUUUGUUUUUACCAAGACUGUUUUAACUCCCUUGACCCGCAACUGUUCCUGGGACCAUGUACGCAUUGCGAUGUUACACAUGUCCAAUGGUGGCUGUUUGGGCCACAGGGCCUUGUAUGUUUCCCCACUAAUAACAGAAAAACUUGCGCCUGUAUCUAUUUCCAUGCAGUGUUUGUUGCCAUCCAACCAAACGUCCAUGACAAAGGGUGCCUUACUUUUCAAUGCUCGCAGGUUAUUCAAACUGUACACUGCUUCAUUCUGUUCUCCCUCUUGCUCUCUUACUGUAUCUGACAACAUGUGAGUAAGUCCAGAGUUAGACUUAUUCCCCACAUUUCCCUGUCGAGCCCCACCAAUAGGCCUACCUUGUUUUUGUUUCGUAAUAUAGGCUUUCUCUAUGUGGUCUUGUUUGGAACAAAACCGACACAUAGUUGUCACAUGCCGACACUCUUCCGCAACAUGAAUCCCUGUACAUCGCCAGCACUGUUGUUUCCGUUUGUUUUCCUGGGGGCCCAUCAUUUGUGUACGUAUUCCUGUGUCCAUGUUUGCCUGAAUACCGUCCGGACGUCUGCCGGUAUGGCUUCUGCCCGCCAUUGCAUGCACCAGAUGUUCGUCAACACGUGUUGGACUUACCUUGUCUCCUUUUCCACGUAUGUCCAAUAUGUUCUUCCGAGUUGCCUCAGCUGCCAUAGCAAUAUCCACUGCCUCUUUGAAGCUCAGUGGAUCCUUAGACAGUAACACGUGCUGAACCAAUCUUAUCUCGCACACCACACACCAGUCUGUCUCUCAACAUCCUCUCCAAAUUGGGGAAGUUACAAUGCGUGCUCAAUCGCCGGAGUUCCGCCCGAUAGACUGCUAUCAUUUCAUCCGCUAGCUGGUCACAUUUCAAAAAUUUGUAUUUCUCCACAAUCUUGCUGGGUUUCGGUUUGAAAUGUACGGAAAGCUUGCUGAAUACCUCGGCGAUGGGUAUCUCAUUGGUAGCCUGUGGAGCUAACAACGAUGAAACUAAGUUGUAGAGUUCCACCCCGCAGUCAGUGAAAAAUACAGCGCGUUUUGCUUCGUCGUUUUCAAUUUUAUUAGCUAUAAAAUAAAACUGCAUCCUUUCGCGGUAACUCUUCCACGUGUCCCGACCCGGCACAAACUCUCCCAUAACCCCAAUCGCCGCCAUCAUCGCCUGUACACCACUCCACACGCACGAACCGAUCCGGAAUUCCUCCUUUUAUGUACCCGUUACACGCACUGUGUGUGUAUUAUGCGAUACAUUGGUUACACAGGUUAUCUGACGAGCUGUCCACCAUGAUGCCAGCUGCUGACUAACGAACCAUAGACAACACAACAUUCUCAGCCUUACCAACUGAGCUGACAGUACAUAACAAUAAAUUUUAUCAAUGUGUUCAACCUGCAGCCAAAGUUUGUCGGACGAAUUCAUAUUCAUUCUGUAUACAUCAAUGGGCAUUUUUUAUCAAUUUAACCAGAGUUUUACCAGUAGCAUAAAUUCUUUUGUUGUUUUGAUGGACUGAUUUUUCUGCAAAGCAAGUUUUGCAAGUAGUUGACAGUGUUUUAAUAUUUUGAAUGUUUGGCACCCUGAACUAAAUGUUAAGUUAUUUUCAUCUUCAUGUCUUAUGUACACAUUAAAUGUAUCCAGUAACUAGGCUGCACUUCUAAGCAAAAUUUCAGUAAAUGUGUGUAACCACUUAUAAAAAAUGUCAUGUACUUUAAGGGAAGUAACAUCAGUAAAAUGCAGUUAUAGAUCAUAUUCUUAGCAUAGCUGCAGUAUCUUCACUAUGCUAAAAAAAAGACUAAAGCAUCAUCAAGAAUUUGCAAGUUUAUUGUUGCUGAGUAUUGUGUUCUAGUGGUUAUAUUACCAGUUAAGGAAAUCUAAAUAUUUAAACUUAAUGUGUAUAGAGUUUAUUUUUUGUAGUUACUAAGGGGGCUGCUAGGAUGUUUCCAAUGUGUAUUUGGAAUGCAGCAAAUUAAAGAAACUUCAAAUAUUUA
Molecule: long non-coding RNA, 5660 nt
Organism: Bacillus rossius redtenbacheri
Lineage: Eukaryota; Metazoa; Arthropoda; Insecta; Phasmatodea; Bacillidae
Exons: 2
Source: RefSeq, a predicted model, not a curated record